RNAcentral lists this ribosomal RNA (254 nucleotides) under uncultured bacterium. Its description in RNAcentral is "partial 16S ribosomal RNA". It matches the Rfam family "Bacterial small subunit ribosomal RNA", at positions 524 to 776 of the family's 1533-position model. The record is from RNAcentral.
UACGGAGGGUGCGAGCGUUGUCCGGAAUCAUUGGGCGUAAAGGGCGCGUAGGUGGCCCGGUCAGUUCGUGGUGAAAGCGCGGGGCUCAACCCUGCGUCGGCCAUGAAUACUGCCGCGGCUGGAGCACUGUAGAGGCAGGCGGAAUUCCGGGUGUAGCGGUGGAAUGCGUAGAGAUCCGGAAGAACACCGGUGGCGAAGGCGGCCUGCUGGGCAGUUGCUGACACUGAGGAGCGAAAGCGUGGGGAGCGAACAGG